CUUUUUUUUCAAAACAUGGUCUUUUGUUUAUAUAAAAGAUCGGGCCUGCCCUAUGAUUAAUUUUAAAUGGCUGCAGUAUUUUGACUGUACAAAGGUAGCAUAAUCAUUUGUCUUUUAAUUGAAGGCUGGUAUGAAUGGUUUGAUGAAAAAUGAUCUUUCUUUAUUUUAUAUAAAAAAUUUAAUUUUCUAGUUAAAAAGCUAGGAUUUUUUUAUAGGACGAGAAGACCCUAUAGAACUUUAUUUUUUAUUUUUUAUAAAUUUUUUGGUUUAUUAUAAGUUUAUAAAAUUUUAUUAAUUGUGUUGGGGUGAUGGAAAAAAAUAUAUAACUUUUUCUAUUUUUUACAUUUAUAUAUGUUUUUUUGAUCCUAUAUUAUGGAUAACAAGAUUAAGUUACCUUAGGGAUAACAGCGUUAUUUUUUUGGAGAGUUCUAAUCGAUGAAAAAGUUUGCGACCUCGAUGUUGGAUUAAAAUAAGUGACAGGAGUAGAAUAUUGUUUACUAGGUCUGUUCGACCUUUAAAUUUUUACAUGAUUAGUUUUCCAAC
RNAcentral lists this ribosomal RNA (543 nucleotides) under Tinginotum formosanum. RNAcentral's name for it is "partial small subunit ribosomal RNA". It matches the Rfam family "Bacterial large subunit ribosomal RNA", at positions 1800 to 2617 of the family's 2925-position model. Lineage: Eukaryota; Metazoa; Arthropoda; Insecta; Hemiptera; Miridae. The record is from RNAcentral.